UCGAAACGGUGAUAAUUGUCUUAACCAAUUUUUUACAUAACUUUAUAUAUAUGUGGGACAGUAUUUUUAUUUGUUUGUACUAUGUGAAGAUACAUUGUUUCUCCGGUUUCUCGUUCGCGUGAGUCAAUCUGUAGUCGUAACCUUUCCUAUCAUAGAAACGAGCAGUGAAACGACUGCGUAAUUCGUGUCGCAUCGCAUCGCAGUGACGAUGCAAAGAGGGGUUCUCAUUUCCGUCGGUAGAUAGAUGGUCGAGGUAAACGGCAGAAGGGAUGAAACGAUCUCAAAUCUCGUUUCAGCGUGUGUACAUGCUACAUGGCCUGAAAAUGUUUUUUUCCCCGUAACUGGAUGAUGCGAAAAAAUGAAAAUUACGAUCCUCUUUGUUGUCUCGCAUUUACGGAAUAAACGAUGGACUCGAGCACGAGUCACCGAGGAGGCAAAGGAGGCCAUUAAUCAUUCGGAAUCGCUCGUUCGCUGUUGCAUUCGAGUGCACAAGAGAGCCAAAAAACGUCAUCACAAGGGCAUAAGGUUGCUGAAUUAUUGAUACAAUGUACUCGGACGGUUUUCCGUGAUGCUGAUUCGCCAAUGGAACUCUUCGGAAGAAGCUUCGCUCGUUUGUUUCGAGUCGAAAGUGUUCGAUGGCUCGAGGGAUCAGGCGAGUUUGAAGCUCGAUACGUUCUCAAAAGAAGUGGGAAACCGUGGGGCACCGUCAGUCAGGAAAAUAAAACAAAUUAUUAAGGGGCCACACGUGAUAAACGGAGGAAGGAAGAAGAGCGCGGAGUUGGAAAAUAAGGCGGAGGAGGAUAAUUGACUAUCCCGGCUUUAUACGCACGCUCCACAGCCAUCAAAUACAGUGGAUUUAAUAGCAUAUCGCAGUCAAACAGGAUUAUCCCGCGAAUCGAGCAAGUGUAAACGGUGCAGUAAAUCCCGGCAAGGUGGCACACAUGCGCGCGCGGCCGCGUGUACGCGGAGCGAUCGGAACAAAACGAGUCUGCGGAGCUCGAAGGGUCAGGCUAACUUUGUGGCGGUAUACGUGUGCCUCGGAUGAUAAUCCCACAGGAAUCGGGCCAGGAUCCUCCGGGGAUGGUUGAAGGGUAAAGGAACUCAUCAAAUCCCGAUGACAAAACGAUCCUACGCUUCGUGUCCCCACAUACGGUGCGGUGUACACGAGGCAACUGCUGGUGGUGUCCGGGAGGAGGCUUAACAGGUUUAGCAUGCUUCGGUAGAAAAGGGGGUGGGCAACGAAAGCUCGUCCCGUCAGGGGAAUCUCAUCCAAGCUGCAGCACACGCCAUUCCGAGGACGAGCAGAAGCACACCCGGGCUUUAUGUAUUUUCCACCGUUCCAUGUACAUACCCCGAUCUAUUAUGUAUCUCAGUAUUUUUCUUAUCCUAGCGUCGUGCCUUGGAUUGCGAGAAAGAAAAGCAGGACCUCUCAGCUUUUGUAUUCGACGUCUGAGAGGCUCU
Long non-coding RNA from Venturia canescens, 1461 nucleotides. RefSeq lists it as uncharacterized. The transcript is spliced from 4 exons. The record is from RefSeq and is a predicted model, not a curated record. NCBI's taxonomy places the organism in Eukaryota, Metazoa, Arthropoda, Insecta, Hymenoptera, Ichneumonidae.